Long non-coding RNA from Mytilus californianus (California mussel), 1218 nucleotides. RefSeq lists it as uncharacterized. The record is from RefSeq and is a predicted model, not a curated record. NCBI's taxonomy places the organism in Eukaryota, Metazoa, Mollusca, Bivalvia, Mytilida, Mytilidae. The transcript has 4 exons.
UUAAUUUUGAUAUCUUUAAGAUAUGUGACAAGGGUGCUCUAAUGCAGAGGAAUUUACGAAGUUAAGAAGUUGAAAAUAUAUUUUGUGCACUUUUUUUGUCAUUUUUAGCUGAUUUUGGUUUGUAACCAAGGUGAUAUUUUUUAAAGAAUAAUUUUACAAAAGGCAUAGUUGAAGAACAUCUUGUUGAAAUUGGAUUGGUUGAUUUUUGGUGUUAAAAACCACUUUAACAUGAUUUACUAUAAUUUUGGCUGUAAAUUUUUAUUUGUGGAGACAGCCAGAGUGCCUGGUGAAAACAUCACCUUCAUCAAGGAAACAGGCAAACCCUAGUCAAAUUAAGAAUGAAGUUACACAUUUCAUGUGAGGGUUUUCAGUGUUGACAGGCUAGUGAUACAGUAGUUGAAGUACUUAUAGGACCACUCUGCCACCAUAAGUAAAUAUUUUAUUGAAAUGUGUUAGAUUUUUGUUGUCAAUCUAUUUUUUAAUUUUAAUUGUACUAUUUUAUUUAUUUUGUUUAAUAUAACAAGGAUGUGGAGUCCGAACAGGGUGAAAUUUGGGUCAAAGGGAGGCAAUUUAUUAUACCCCUGUUUAACUCCACAUACUUUAAAUUCCCUCAAUGUUAGGAUUUUCAUCUACUUGGAUAUUCAUGUUUGUACAUUUUUUUUUAAUAUCAGAUGUAUACUAGCUAAUAUUGACUAUUAUUUAGAGCUCUGUAAUAAAAAAAAAUAAAUGUAAGCAGAGCUCUAGAUAAUAAGUAUGCAGGGUGGGAGAAAUCUUGGGUCAUUAACAAUUGAUUUGCUGAAAUUUUCUAGAAAGGGGAUUUAUUGGAAAUGCAUCUGAUAUAUUUAAUGUAUAAAACUAUAUUUAAAAAAAAAAGAUGUUAAGAUGAUGAGGAGAGCCACCUUGUCAGCCGGGAGAGCAGCUCUAAGGGAGAUGGUCAAUUUAAUCUUCACCAAGUCUGAGGCUUUACCAUGAAAAAUAUGUGGUUGUUAUAAUGAUGAUGUUUUCAUGGUGUUGGGAGUAAGACUUGGAUGUCUGAUAUUGUUAACAUGUUGGUUAGCAUCAGGUUUCCAUUGGGUUACUUGCUGGGAUAAAGCUGUUAUAAGUCGAAAGAGUUGCUGUUGCUGCCUUCCUUGUAUGGUAAAAUCUUCAGACUACAAUUCUGCAAACCAUUGGAUGAACUGUUGCUAUCUUUUGUAAAAAAAUCAGCAGAAUGAAUAA